RNAcentral lists this ribosomal RNA (229 nucleotides) under uncultured bacterium. RNAcentral's name for it is "partial 16S ribosomal RNA". It matches the Rfam family "Bacterial small subunit ribosomal RNA", at positions 568 to 796 of the family's 1533-position model. The record is from RNAcentral.
UAUGUAGGCGGUUAUGUAAGUGUGGAUUGAAAGACCAGGGCUUAACCCUGUGUUUGGUCUGCAAACUACAUAACUAGAGUUCAGGAUGGGAAGCUGGAAUUCCACGUGUAGGAGUGAAAUCUGUAGAGAUGUGGAAGAAUACCGGCGGCGAAGGCGAGCUUCUGGCCUGAAACUGACGCUAAUGUACGAAAGCGUGGGGAGCGAACAGGAUUAGAUACCCUGGUAGUCC